Molecule: long non-coding RNA, 186 nt
Filed under: Cairina moschata (Muscovy duck)
Lineage: Eukaryota; Metazoa; Chordata; Aves; Anseriformes; Anatidae
Description: domestica (muscovy Duck (domestic type)) lncRNA (ENSCMMG00000008077.1)
Source: RNAcentral
AGGAAAGCAGGUUGUGACACAGGGAUAUAAAAGAGUCAGACUGAACAGACAGUCCUGAGUCAUCCAGCCCAGUCCUCUGACAUCAGCGGCAAACAAGUCAGGUAUAUUCUAUUUCUAUGUCAACUGAUGAUAAAAGAGUGGCAGUACAGAGAACCAUUUAACUACAGCAACAUAACACAUCAGCAA